RNAcentral lists this ribosomal RNA (765 nucleotides) under uncultured bacterium. RNAcentral's name for it is "bacterial SSU rRNA". It matches the Rfam family "Bacterial small subunit ribosomal RNA", at positions 57 to 839 of the family's 1533-position model. The record is from RNAcentral.
GCAGUUGAACGUGAAGCCUAGUACUUAGUAUUGGGUGGAAAGUGGCGAACGGGUGAGUAACACGUUGGUGACCUGUCCCGAGGAGGGGGAUAACCGUGGGAAACCACGGCUAAUACCCCGGAUGUCUAGGUGGUUAGAGGGCCUAGACUAAAGCUCCGGCGCCUUGGGAGGGGCCUGCGGGCUAUCAGCUAGUUGGUGGGGUAACGGCCUACCAAGGCUAAGACGGCUAGGGGGCGUGAGAGCGCGACCCCCCACAAUGGAACUGAGACACGGUCCAUACUCCUACGGGAGGCAGCAGUGAGGAAUAUUGCGCAAUGGGGGCAACCCUGACGCAGCAACGCCGCGUGGACGAUGAAGGCCUUCGGGUUGUAAAGUCCUUUUCUGAGGGGCGAUAAUGACGGUACCUCAGGAAUAAGUCCCGGCUAACUACGUGCCAGCAGCCGCGGUAAAACGUAGGGGGCGAGCGUUAUCCGGAUUUACUGGGCGUAAAGCGCACGUAGGCGGCGCCGUAAGUUGGACGUGAAAGCUCUCGGCUCAACUGAGAGAGGUCGUUCAAUACUGCGGUGAUUGAGGUUGGAAGAGGAGAGUGGAAUUCCCGGUGUAGUGGUGGAAUGCGUAGAUAUCGGGAGGAACACCAGUGGCGAAGGCGGCUCUCUGGUCCACACCUGACGCUGAGGUGCGAAAGCGUGGGGAGCGAACGGGAUUAGAUACCCCGGUAGUCCACGCCGUAAACGAUGGAUACUAGGUGUAGGAGGUUAUUUACCC